This is a non-coding RNA of Podarcis lilfordi (Lilford's wall lizard), 68 nucleotides long. NCBI's taxonomy places the organism in Eukaryota, Metazoa, Chordata, Lepidosauria, Squamata, Lacertidae. The record is from the annotation of a GenBank genome assembly.
GCCUGGGAUAGCUCAGUUGGUAGAGACUUUUCACCUCAGAGUCAUGGGUUCAAGCCCCACACUGGGUA